This 539-nucleotide ribosomal RNA is filed under the name Spongia officinalis (commercial sponge). Its description in RNAcentral is "partial large ribosomal RNA subunit". It matches the Rfam family "Eukaryotic large subunit ribosomal RNA", at positions 705 to 1218 of the family's 3401-position model. The record is from RNAcentral. Lineage: Eukaryota; Metazoa; Porifera; Demospongiae; Dictyoceratida; Spongiidae.
AACCAGAAGGCGCAAUGAAAGUGAAGGCACGGUCGCCGUGCUAAGGUGAGAGCUGUCCAUGGCAGCGCAUCAUCGACCGAUCCCAUCCGCUCCCACGUGGUGCGGCGGGAUUCGAGUAAGAGUGUACCUGUUGCGACCCGAAAGAUGGUGAACUAUGCCUGAAUAGGGUGAAGCCAGAGGAAACUCUGGUGGAGGCCCGUANCGAUUCUGACGUGCAAAUCGAUCGUCAAAUUUGGGUAUAGGGGCGAAAGACNNNUCGANNNNNNNNNNNNNNNNUUCCCUCCGAAGUUUCCCUCAGGAUAGCUGUAGCCCGAAGCAGUUUUAUCAGGUAAAGCGAAUGAUUAGAGGUAUCGGGGAAGAAACUUCCUCGACCUAUUCUCAAACUUUAAAUAGGUAAGAAGUCCGACUUGCUCAAUUUGAAGCCGGACGCAGAAUGCUGGGUUACUAGUGGGCCAUUUUUGGUAAGCAGAACUGGCGAUGCGGGAUGAACCGAACGCCGAGUUAAGGUGCCAAAGUCGACGCUCAUCAGAUCCCACAAA